This 2467-nucleotide long non-coding RNA is filed under the name Salmo salar (Atlantic salmon). RNAcentral's name for it is "lncRNA (ENSSSAG00000092310.1)". Lineage: Eukaryota; Metazoa; Chordata; Actinopteri; Salmoniformes; Salmonidae. The record is from RNAcentral.
AGAUUACACUUUGACUCCUGUCUGAUCAAUGCCAAUACUGCAAUAGCUUUAUUGAUCCCUCUAAGCAGAGCGAGGAUGUCAGGCAUCGUGGUGCCAACCCUGUUGCUAACAUCCAUACUGGAGAGCAGGACUGCAAUGCUCAGAGUGCAAGAACAAAACUUAAAUCAAUUGAGCACUGACACCAUUUUAUCCGUGUGUGAAACAAGGCAUAAAAUAGGCAUUUCACAAGGACCCUUCCUUCUUUAGAGGUCUAUGAUGCGCCUGAUGGAGCGAAGCUUGGAGCUAAUGCCUCCCCAGUCACUGUAUCUACGGUACUGGCCACGCCUCAGGUAGUAGUGGUGUCCUCUAUAGUUGGCCUGGUCGUACAUCAAGCCAGUGGCCAUCCAUCACGUUGCAGGAGUUGAAGUCAGACAUACUGAAACGGUCCAUACAGUUGGGGCAGUCGUCGUCCAGCUCCAUCAUCUGGCCUCCCAUGUCAGCACGGUCGUACAGCCUCAUCCUGAAGUUACCACGGUGCUGGAGGGGAUCUGGUUUCUACAUUCUUAACAAGCUUUAUGAAUCGUCAAUACAAAAACGACUAUUUAGAUUCUCACAUGUACGCAAACAAAAUGCAAAAUGUCAAUGUGACUGAUUUAAGGGAUUGAAGAUUGAUUAUGUAAUUCAUAAAUUGUUUGAUACUGAUGAUUAACCACUUAGGAUCCCUUUCUACACCCUCGUAGAUGGCCAGGUUAUAUACUAUGAUCAAAACUUCUACACCCUCGUAGAUGGCCAGGUUAUAUACUAUGAUCAAAACUUCUACACCCUCGUAGAUGGCCAGGUUAAAUACUAUGAUCAAAACCUAGAUUAUGUGUAAAUACUCUCAAAUACACAAUGAUACAGUAAGUAGUUAAUAUGUGUUUUAGAAAUUUUCUGAAGAUAUCAGUAGCCUUGAGAAUAAUAUUUGACUGUUCCCUUACCAUGGGGAUCAUGCGGCAGGACUUGACACAGCCGUUCAUUCCCUUACCAUGGGGAUAAUGCGGCAGGACUUGACACAGCCGUUCAUUCCCUUACCAUGGGGAUAAUGCGGCAGGACUUGACACAGUCGUUCAUUCCCUUACCAUGGGGAUCAUGCGGCAGGACUUGACACAGUCAUUCAUUCUCAUCAUACGCAUGUAGUUGGAGUACUCUCCCUUCCUCAGGAAGUGCUGGGGUCCCAUGAAGUUGGGGCGCUCGUAGAUCAUGAACAUACCGCUCUCCACCCUGAUGGACUAGCAGCGGUUGAACAUGGAGUGAAGAUCGGCACAGAUACUAAUGCACUCAUGGUGACUGCCGCCGAAGUCCUUGUCCUUGUAAAAGAUGUUCUGAUGGAAGAACAGGAAUGAUUUUGAAGUAGCAUUAAUAAGAAAAUCUAUGGAAAAACAAAGUAAAGAUGUGAUACAGGCGGCCUACAGAUAUACUGUUUGAGGAAAUUACUCUAAAUAAGAAAGUAUACACCGAGAGUACAAAAGAAAAACAUUUGUUUUAAAGUUCAUUUCCUGCAAUUCUACACAUUUUGCUAUAGGGUGGAGGCAAAUGUUUGCAGUUUUUAAUAUGCUGACAUGGGCUAAUUGAGUGAUUGCUAAUACACAACCAAAUUGCACCUGGUGUAUUCUGUUAUUCAAACUCUCAACAGUAAGUUGAGACCCCGACUGGGUUCUUAAAAAAUAUACAGUAAAUAUAUUUUUGGGUGAAAUUGGUCCGUGGGCAUUUUGUGGCUUGUUUGUUUUGGUACCUAUCAACACCCCUCAUUAUCACCAUCUAUGCACGCAACCACUCACUUAAACUACUGAUUACUGACUACACACACCAUUGUUAAUUGUAAAUAGUUUACUUUAGUUCAUAAAUAUAUUUUUGUUAUUCCUUGAUCUCAUCGUUGUCUCCCUUUUUGUUGUGGGCUAACAUGCCCACCUAUCCCAGACAUCAAUCAGAUGAUACACCCAUUCACUCUGUAGCUAAAAGAUUCAAUAAUACUCAAAUCUUUGACAUGAUUAGAUCGAUGUGUGAAGUAUUACUCAUGGGGUAGCAGUCUGGCAGGUUACCCAGGUAACACAGCCACACCUCAGAGACAGGUCUGGCAGGUUACCCAGGUAACACAGCCACACCUCAGAGACAGGUCUGGCAGGUUACCCAGGUAACACAGCCACACCUCAGAGACAGGUCUGGCAGGUUACCCAGGUAACACAGCCACACCUCAGAGACAAGCCUGGCAGGUUACCCGGGUAACACAUCCACACCUCAGAGACAAGCCUGGCAGGUUACCCAGGUAACACAGCCACACCUCAGAGACAAGCCUGGCAGGUUACCCGGGUAACACAUCCACACCUCAGAGACAAGCCUGGCAGGUUACCCAGGUAACACAGCCACACGUCAGAGACAGACCAUUAGGUUGCUCACCAGAAGGUACGGGAGCGGAUGGAGUCAUUGUAAUCAUCCAGCGCUGAUACUCUGG